Cebus imitator (Panamanian white-faced capuchin) is the source of this 328-nucleotide long non-coding RNA. RefSeq lists it as uncharacterized. The record is from RefSeq and is a predicted model, not a curated record. NCBI's taxonomy places the organism in Eukaryota, Metazoa, Chordata, Mammalia, Primates, Cebidae. The transcript is spliced from 3 exons.
CAGCCCUGCAAACAACAUAGUUAUGGAACAUAAGAAUAACCUGGCUUCAGGCAUGCGAGUUCCCAAAUCUCUGCCGUAUAUUCUGCCAUGGAAAAACAAUGGAAAUACACAGUAACUGAAUACCUAUCUCAUCAAAUGCCAGACCUUAGAAGACUCUUGCUUCUUCCUGCUCCAGUGGGUUCUUCAUUUUCCUCCAUCUAAUUAUAGAAUGAUAAACUCUGUGACUUUCUAAACUGACAAGUACAGUUUUUUCAUCCCCCUCUUGAAUCCUCAUUUGAUACAAGAACCUUCAUACUCAGAAGCUUUCAAAUAAACCUGUGAUAUAGAU